AGAUGACUGGAGCAAAAUGGUGUAGACUACUCUCGUAGUGUGGAUUGAAUGUUGACAGCAUAAUCAAUUAUUGAAACAAUUUGACAUUUCAUUAUGAUAAGUGUGUAUUUAGUGUAAAAGACAUGAAGCGAAAAUUAUUGAAGGAAAUUAGAUGUUCUGUAGAGGAGGAAUAGCUACUGAGGGGGGAAAAUAAUACUGGCGGUGCUACUGCUGCAAUCCUACGGUAGGUAGGAAUGUGGCAGUAUUUUAUCUCAUUUUGAAAAAUCAUAGUGUAUCUGUAGAUAUAUCUACCUAUGAAAAAAUUGCUAAGUUAGAUACAAGUUAAAAAAAAAAAAAAACAAGUAAAAUUUAGUAGAAAAUUCUGCUUAGUUUUGGAAAUACCGUUAAAAAGAAUGAUGAUACUGAAACGAAGCCUUCACAGGAUUCGUGUUAUCCGUGACUCGACGAAUCCAUCUUUUCUUUCUCCUCCGAAUAUAGCAAGAGGAUUAUCUCUUUUCCCCAGCUCCGUAUAGUUAUCGUCCAGAGAGCUUGUUCUUCCUCUGAACCUUACAGCAUGUCAUCAUGAACUUCACAUCAAUUGAUAUGGAGUUGCUGAUCCAAAGGCCUGGUUCUGGAAUGAUUCUGAGCCACGUGUGGCAUCAUAAUCAAAAUCAAGAUUCUUACUUAAGUGUACAACUUUGCAGAAAACAACACACUAAAUGGAGACAUUGGUGUUGGAAGAUGACUACAGUGACAGCAGGAACUCAAAUGACAGCUUCUUGAAAAUAGCAUCUGCAAUGACAGAAAACCAUUUUAUGUGUGUCACACCAUGAAAGACUGAUUUUAAUAUCUAGUUGAAAAGUCAGGAAAAGCCAAUGUACCCAAACAUUUCAUGUGUUGAUAAGCCUCUUACAGCCUCUUACAACAAUGUUGUCAUAUUAGUCAGGACUAAUGCAUUGGCACAAUUCAAUUCAAACCCUUAACACUUGCCAACCAUAGCUUAAUGGCACAUCCUAUGUCUGACAUGUGAGAGAAGUAGAUACAGGAGGGAGUGUGAGGAGAACCCAUCACUUAUCUUCCAGACGAGCUAGAGGGAGAGUUUGCAAGUUAUUGCUUCCUAUCCCCUCCUCGCCUCUUUCACUCUGCACCAAGUUACUUUCAUAUUUUGUGGCCUAGUAGCAAUAUGGGCAAGAGCAAGGACUUCAGCAAAGAGGAAAUUUCAUCCAUAAGAAUAGGAAAGCAGACAUACCUACAAAUUGUUAGUGCAAGUGCAACUAUGGACCAAACAAUUUUUGAAUGGUGGAAAGACAGCAACACAGCACCAAGGUUACCUGGCGAGGGCUAGAAACCCUUCCCCUCUUUGACUAAGGCAGCAAGUAGAUGCAAACCCACAUCUAACUGCACACUUAGUGAAAGAAUAAAACCCUUGGUUCUUGGUGAGCUGUCAGUGAGGACAGUGCAAUGACACCUCCAUGGCACCUCUCCACCAACACAAAACUGUGGUCUGUCACUGCAUGGUUCUUUCACUCACACCAACAAUUCUAACUGUAUCCUUUGUAGGAAUCUCAACUUGCAUGGGAAUCAGUACCAUUAGAGUAAGGACAAAGAAAAAAAAGAAAAGUUGAGAAAAAAAGGGGGACUAGAGGUUAGUACUUAUUGGCAGUUGUGGUAGCAGUUGCUGUUUAUUUAAUUAAAACUAAAUCAGUGAAGGUCUUCCCUAAAUCUCAGCUGCUUAGAUGGGUAUGGUGGUAGAAAUGUGGUAUUGGUAGUGCCAUGUGGUUGUUGCUGGUAUAGGUUAGUUGGUGAGAUGGUGGUACUGGCGAGACUGUUAGGAGUGCAUGAGAGGUUAAACAAAACUCGCUUAUCCUUGAUUUGAUGUCAGUGUCUUUCAUUUAGGUAAAAAUGGUUGUGUAAUUAGGUUUAUAUACAUUUUUAAGUGAGAAUGUUUAGACUGAUUAAAUAGUAAGUUUCUCAGUUUUGUAGUGCUUUGCUGUUACUGUUCUGUGUAAGAUUUCAGGGGCCGUGUUCUAUAAACCAUCACAGCUAAUGACGUGAUCGUAGCGCAACAAAAUAGUGCAUUUUAGACACAAGUCCCUCUGUGACAGGCUCUAACCUUGUGACUCAUCAUAAGUGCCAAUAUAGGGUUCAGUCUGUUGUAGUGCUACCAACUGCUGUCUUAAAACUCUUGUCAACAUGGUGGGGGCUUGGCUGUAUGUACCAUAGCGUGAUCCCUGACAGUUUUCAAUAUUAAUUAAUUAUAAAUACCCGUAAGGAUGACUAAAUGAUGUCCUUAUUUGAUGCAGUAAUUUACCAAUAUAGAUAACUGCUGAGAGGGGUAUGAUAAAUUUUUCCCAAACUCAAACAAACCUUGCCGUGAGUGGCCUGCAUGUGUCGGGCUAUUGAGUGUAAUCUUCUGUUUGCCAUGUUUCUUUUGUUUGGAUACACAGUCUAACUAUUUCCAAAGUUGUAAUAUGGUGGCAAAAUAAUUUAGAUUGUAGAAAAUUAUAUCAAGGAGCUAUUUCUCUCUAUUCAUAUAUAAAGUUGACAAGUAAUGAGGCUAAAGACCAACAGUGGAGUGAUGGUCAGGCAUUGAGUGAAAUCUGAGGCUGACUGUGUAGAAUGCGGCCCCAGAAUGAUAGCCUGUGUUUUGUAUAUUUACAGUGACAAUAUAGUGUUGCAAGGAACAACAUGCUGUUUGAGAGCAAUGCCAUUGUGAGAUGCUUAAAAAAUAAUUUUACAGUUGAUAGUUUCUCCUUAGACUUUUGCAAUGAAAAUGGUCUCAAAAUACUUUUAGAACUUGUAGUUUCUAGCAAUGAAAAUGCUCUCAAAAUACUACUCUUCUCUUCUUUUAUUUUGUUAUAUUAUACAAAUGUAUGGAUGAUAAUGAUAGGUGGAAUGAGGUAGACCUGUUCGUACAGGGACUGCUGUCAUGUAUGUGCAGGCCUCAUGGCUUGCAACUUUCAUUUUGGUUUCCGUAAUAUUGUCAAAAUAAUUUUGGACGUUGAAAAAAUCUCAGAGUAAUGUAAUACUUGAAAAAAUUGCAAAUUAUUCUAAGUUGAAAAUGUAAAAAGUGUCAAAAAUAGUACAAAUUCUGCUAUUCCACUGUAAAAUUUUUUAAAGUUGAAAAUGGUAAAAACUAUUGUAAAUUGUGUACAAAUUGUAGAUUGUGUGUAAAAUUUUUAUAAGUUGAAAAUUUUGGUAGAGUUUUAAGAAAGUUGUGUGUAAAAUUUUUCUAAGUUGAAAAUUUUGGUAGUUUUCAGGAAGUUGUGUAGAAUUUUUUAUCUAAGUUGAAUUAAGAAAGUUGUGUGUAAAAUUUUUAUAAGUUGAAAAUUUUGGUAGAGUUUCAGAGACUCGUGUAAAAAUGUGUUUGUUGAUUGAAUAAAAGGGAAGGGAGACUC
This 3377-nucleotide long non-coding RNA is filed under the name Portunus trituberculatus (swimming crab). Its description in RNAcentral is "uncharacterized LOC123499368". The record is from RNAcentral. Lineage: Eukaryota; Metazoa; Arthropoda; Malacostraca; Decapoda; Portunidae.